RNAcentral lists this long non-coding RNA (2226 nucleotides) under Homo sapiens (human). RNAcentral describes it as "HSALNT0301376". The record is from RNAcentral. Lineage: Eukaryota; Metazoa; Chordata; Mammalia; Primates; Hominidae.
GUGCGCUCCCCGCCGAGGCUCCCCUCGACGCCUGGGCCGCCGCGCAACCGCACUGGAGCGGCUUCUCCCGCUGCCGUCUUCGCGCAGGGUUGAGUUUGUGCAUCGAUUGUGAACACAACAGGCAGCAGGCUAUAAUGGUGGUCCUGGCUGGAGUAGUUUUCACAGACUUCAGUAAUCUGUGGAGAUGAACGGGCAGUUCUCUGUAGUUUUCACAGAUCACUGCCAGUUCGUUUUGAGGCCUUCAGGAGUGAAGACCUGGCUCAUCAUCACUCUUUGUUGUUUUGUUAAAUUUAUUUACACCCUACUUUAUUCCAGAGGAAAGGAUUUAACGUAGUUUACAUAAAUGUGUACAUCAGGGUAAAUUAAAAAUAAGUACAGAGAAAAAUAGGACAAAAGAAAACCGUGAGUGUGAAAGAUAAGAUUAAGCCAGCAGUUUUGUAUGCAAAAUGCAUGGUGUAAGGUCCUAUUGGUUUGCUGGAGGUAGGCCACACAUAUGACUCUCAGUUUUCUAGCAACCAAGAAAAAGAUCAGUUGCAAUCGGAGUAGGUGUUUUGGCUAAGCUGGAACUAGGACUUGAAUAUAGCAGCUUGUAGAGUUAUACCACUUGCCCAAAUCUCUUCCAUGAGCCUCUUUAAGUGUAACAGAAUGCCUGGGAGCACGUAAAUGCUCCUACUUAGAUGCCUACUUAGCCUCUAAUUUUCAUGGGGCCCAUGAAUCCCAUGAAAAAGAACUUUGAACCCUGUCCACAAUUAGAGUUCAGGUAUACGCAGACAUGUUUAAAGACAAGGGACACCCAAAGGAAAGAUUGCACAGAGAGAAAGUGAGCAUCCGAGAGAAAAUCACCACAAGUGAGGCAGAGGGAGGCCGGUCUCAGCAGAGUUUUGGAGGUCGUGAGAAGAAGAGGUAGGAGAUAGGAGAGUGGUUCCGAGUACUUGCCUGCUGAUGUUACCUUCUCCACCCCCACCAGGUUUUCCAGUGCCUGGAGUCUUGGGCAGGAAUGGGCCACUGUAAGAAAGAGCUUUAUCACUAGGGCCUCAGCCAACUUUUCUGUGGGAUAUCCCUCCAAAAUAAUUAAGAGUUCAGAAUGCUUCAGAUUUUGAAGUGAAACUGGUACAUAUAUUAAGUGUUACUUAAUAACCCGAUAGUUUCUAGGGCAGCUCACCAUAAUCCCAAGUAUUAGCCACCACCCUCACCCCCUUCAGAGUAAAAUGUGUUUCCUGAAGGAAGUUGGGAAAAUGAAGAAAAAAAAUACAAAAAUCACCUAUAAUCUUACCAGUCAUAGAUGGCAGUUUUCCUGUCUUAUUUCUGAAUAAUGGUUGUUAAACAUUUGCCAGCACACCAUAAGGCUUAGGGAGGCAUCUGGGUCAUGCAUGUUAAUAUCCUUGGGUAAUUCCAGAAAUCUCUAUGAAGGGAAACUCCUGUUAUUUAUCUAGACUUCCUGAUUGCAAGGGGUUUGGGCAUCAUGAUUUAGGGGUCUUAAUAAAAUUAUUAUUUUAUUUUUACUAAUAGAUAAUGUCUGUGCCUAUCAGAUAAAGGCAAACCAGUGCUCAGAGGAACCCAACCAUCUCUGAAUUGAGACCAGAGAGCUGUCUCUAUGGAUAGUCCUUAGAGAAGGCAUUUCGGAACACAGUAAACAGCAGCCUGGUGACUCCGAUUACAGGGCCAGUUGCCUUUGUUACAAUAAAAGCAAGUCAUCUACACAGAUUUUUCCUACCAGGAAGAGCAUGUGCUGACCAACAGACAUGAAUUUCAGCCUGGUAGUUACAACAUUCACAGACAAACUGCGGCCUGGACCAGCUGGUGAAACAUAAUUCUGAAUCCUGCCCACAGCCUUCGGUGGUUUUGGAUGAAAGGCCAGCGCCUUGGGAGCCCUGCGUUUGAUUUCAAGUUUUAAGGCCGGCACUGGUGGAGCAAUGAAUGGUGAAAGCUCUCCCCUUAAAGGAGCACAGUUGCCUUUAGGUGACUGCUAACUCAGGCUUUUGCUGAGGACAGUGUUUACUUUGUGAGCUUAAUGACAGGGCUGGCUUUCUGGGAGUGUUGCAAUGAAACAGACUCAGACACAGGCCAUCAUGGGCCUCCUCCCUAGCAAGGCCGCCACGGCUGGCAUCUCAAGAGCAGUCCGUUGAACUUGGGAUUUGGGUGUGAGACACAGUUUCAUCAGAAGAAUUUAAACCAAAGUCUACAUUUGCCCUCUAGAUAAAUGUGUGUGUUCAGCAGCAACCACAA